GGGUGGCCGAGCAGGAUGGCAAAUGUGUAGCCUUGUUUACGGGGCGAAGCGCCCCCCCA
RNAcentral lists this transfer RNA (59 nucleotides) under Cyrtodactylus inthanon (Doi Inthanon bent-toed gecko). RNAcentral's name for it is "partial tRNA-Tyr". Lineage: Eukaryota; Metazoa; Chordata; Lepidosauria; Squamata; Gekkonidae. The record is from RNAcentral.